GACGAACCGUGCGAACGUUGUUCGGAAUCACUGGGCUUAAAGGGCGCGUAGGCGGGCUGCCAAGUCCGUAGGUGAAAUCCCCCGGCUCAACCGGGGAACGGCCUCGGAUACUGGCGGCCUGGAGGGGGGUAGGGGCGUGCGGAACUGUGGGUGGAGCGGUGAAAUGCGUUGAGAUCCACAGGAACUCCGGUGGCGAAGGCGGCACGCUGGACCCUUUCUGACGCUGAGGCGCGAAAGCCAGGGGAGCGAACAGG
Molecule: ribosomal RNA, 254 nt
Filed under: uncultured bacterium
Lineage: Bacteria
Description: partial 16S ribosomal RNA
Rfam family: Bacterial small subunit ribosomal RNA
Source: RNAcentral